UGCGCCUACGGGACGCAGCAGUGGGGAAUAUUGCACAAUGGGGGGAACCCUGAUGCAGCGACGCCGCGUGAGGGAAGAAGGUUUUUGGAUUGUAAACCUCUGUCCUUGGUAAAGAAGCAAGACGGUAGCCAAGGAGGAAGCCACGGCUUACUACGUGCCAGCAGCCGCGGUAAUACGUGGGUGGCAAGCGUUGUCCGGAAUUACUGGGUGUAAAGGGAGCGUAGGCGGUUAUGCAAGGUGAAUGUGAAAUGUAUCGGCUGCACUGAUAGGCGGGG
This 275-nucleotide ribosomal RNA is filed under the name uncultured bacterium. RNAcentral's name for it is "partial 16S ribosomal RNA". It matches the Rfam family "Bacterial small subunit ribosomal RNA", at positions 334 to 625 of the family's 1533-position model. The record is from RNAcentral.